Oncorhynchus tshawytscha (Chinook salmon) is the source of this 836-nucleotide long non-coding RNA. RefSeq lists it as uncharacterized. The record is from RefSeq and is a predicted model, not a curated record. The transcript has 3 exons. Lineage: Eukaryota; Metazoa; Chordata; Actinopteri; Salmoniformes; Salmonidae.
UAGGUUAUGGUCAGUUUGAUCCUGGUUGGCAAUACGUGAACAUGCCAGUUAUAGCUAGCUAAUAAAGAGCUACGUUAAGAAAUAUCCUGUAGUACUGCAUUAUAUUAUUUUGUACAAAAUGUACAAAACAUGGUGUCAGAGUAAAAGGUCUUAAAAUAUGAAUUUUUCUGGAGUUCCUUUACCUCGAAUGGACUGGGACUCUACAAAUUUACCCAAUGCAUGGCGUAAGUACAAACAGCAUGUGAAGCUAAUGUUCACGGGUCCUCUGAAGGACAGAGGAGAAGAGGAAAAGUGCAGCUACCUGCUCCUCUGAAUCGGUGAAAAAGGAGAGAUAUUUACAACACAUGGACACUUACCGAGGCUGAAUCAAAGCUUGGAACCUCACAGCAGAGAGCCAGGAGCUGCAGCACGGGUCAGACUCACAGCUGAGAGCACGGUCAGAGCACACAGCUGGCAGUGAUAUGUCACAACAUAUUGGGUCCAGCCACAAGACGACGCCGACGAGAGGGACGACCCCGAGGACGAGGAGCAGGUGGCGAAGGUGGAAAUCACGGAUGAUGUUGGGAUCCAGAAUGUCCUACACCGGAACCCAACAUCGACAACCCGGAACCCAACAUCACGUGAGCUUCGCUCCACACUUAUGCGCACCUGAAGCACUCGUCAACCGCAGGAGCUUCGGUCUGGCCCAGGGUCCACGGAGCCGAGGACGAGCAUACCAACCCUACCAUGUCACAACACAUUGGUUGGCUGAAACACAUUAUGAAGCAAAUUAACUUUCAACAAGGCACACCUGUUAAUUCAAAUGCAUUCCAGGUGACUACCUCAUGAAGCAGGUU